This is a long non-coding RNA of Tripterygium wilfordii, 1387 nucleotides long. RefSeq lists it as uncharacterized. NCBI's taxonomy places the organism in Eukaryota, Viridiplantae, Streptophyta, Magnoliopsida, Celastrales, Celastraceae. The transcript is spliced from 5 exons. The record is from RefSeq and is a predicted model, not a curated record.
UCUUUAUAAGCUAUAAUAAUUGCUUCAUUAUAGCUUAUAAAGAUCAACCGUAAGAAUGAUGGAUAAUUCCCGAAUUCACAACUUUUUCUCAAAUGCGAUUCUUCUUGACAUUGAUGCUCAACUGCAAACUUGAGCACAGCGAAAUCUCUGAAAGAAGUAAAAAAAGAAUUGCUCCAAAUAACACAGAAGAUCCCAUAGCAAAAAUCAAGCGAGCCAAAUUGUAUCUGGGACUCCUCCAGUAGGAGAGGUUUUGCUUCCAGAGGCAUGCCUUGAAUUGCUCCAGUCCAUUUUGUGGAUAGCGCAUAGAAAAGUUUAGUUCAAUUGAACCAGGUUCUGCUGCUGCUCUGGCAUCUAGACCGGAAGUUGGUUCAUCCAUAAAUAUUAUGGAUGGAUUCGAAACAAGUUCAACUGCUAUUGUUAGGCGUUUGCGCUGCUCAGUUGAUAUUCCACUGACACCAGGAAUGCCAACUAAAGCAUCUUUGAUUCCGUCAAGCCCAAUCAGCCGAAGAACUUCUGUAACAAAUUCCUGUUUGUAAUUGUAACAUUCAAUGUUAGUUUUCUUCUGCAAUAUAAGGUAAGCUUAUUCUACGCAUGCAAGUUCUGAAUGCUCAAGAGAGAGUGGCUUCUGUAUCAUUGGUAAAAGGUUAAUGAUCAAUUUUUUUUUCCUGUUAAUUACAACCUCCCUGUAUUUUUCAAAAUUUUCUGUUAUUUCCAAGUUUCCAUUAGUUAUCCAACUUGAUCUUUAAGCCUGUUAAAAUUCAUUUUCUUAGAUAAUACUAGACAUAAAUACUAGAGAGUAGCUACAUGCAGCAUAUUCAGUUCAUAAGACUUCUUACAGCUCUUGUGUGGUUGUCAAUCUGAGCUGGCAAGCGUAGCCAAGCUGAGUACGCAACUGAUUCUUCUAUUGUAAUUUGUGGAGAAUGUAUGUCACUUUGCUCACAGUAACCAGAUACUCUGGCAUAUGUGGAUUGAACUUUGGGAUACCCUCCAAUUCUUAUCUCGCCAGUAAUCAUACCACUGGUUUUUCUUCCAGAAAGAACAUCCAUCAGGGUUGUCUUCCCAGCUCCACUAACCCCCAUCAGCGCUGUGAGAAUCCCAGAUUUUGGCAAAUGAGCAGGAGCUAAUUCUUUCCCUUCGAUUAUGCUGCUUGUGUUUUCUGAACCUUUUCGAUUAGAGAGUUGUUCAUGAGAAAUAGUCUUAUGAGAACUCCCUGGAGCUGCAACGAUUCAUAUUUCAAGAAGUACAGUUGAUAAAGAAUAUAAUCUGUUCAGGUUCACCUUUUGCCACCUUGGAGCAAGGAAUUCAUUCACUGACGAUCCUAUUUCAGCAUAUGACAGCGGUGAAAGCCAAAAGCACCAUGCCAGCCAAACAGGCAAAGAGGCUGCAG